Molecule: transfer RNA, 73 nt
Filed under: Bos taurus (domestic cattle)
Lineage: Eukaryota; Metazoa; Chordata; Mammalia; Artiodactyla; Bovidae
Also listed under: 4 other names
Rfam family: tRNA
About the family: Transfer RNA (tRNA) molecules are approximately 80 nucleotides in length. Their secondary structure includes four short double-helical elements and three loops (D, anti-codon, and T loops). Further hydrogen bonds mediate the characteristic L-shaped molecular structure. tRNAs have two regions of fundamental functional importance: the anti-codon, which is responsible for specific mRNA codon recognition, and the 3' end, to which the tRNAs corresponding amino acid is attached (by aminoacyl-tRNA synthetases). tRNAs cope with the degeneracy of the genetic code in two manners: having more than one tRNA (with a specific anti-codon) for a particular amino acid; and 'wobble' base-pairing, i.e. permitting non-standard base-pairing at the 3rd anti-codon position.
Source: Rfam by way of RNAcentral
UCCUUGGUGGUCUGAUGGUUAAGACUCUGCACCCCCAAUGCAGGGGGCCCAGGUUCAAUCCCUCAUCAGGGAA